AGUAUUUUCUUACAAGCAGUAGUCAGCUGUUCUAAGUAAUGGUUCUUUUUCAGUAACAUCAAGAAUCUGCUGACAUCCGUUGUGGAUUUAAGAGCCUCAGACUGGGGUAGAUUAACACCUCCACCAGCAGUGCGGAAUGAUUCUGUUGUGGCUGAGAAUUAUAUGUAUGGCACGGUAUUCUAUGGACCAGAUGGACGACCAAUUUCUUCAGAAGAAGUCACUUUCUUACAGAAAUCCUGUAGCAAUCUCAGUUCUUCAAAUGUAACCAAUGGUGAAUUAUAUGGGACAGAAGAUCCUGAUGGGGAAGUCAUGGACGAAGAAAUGCAAGCAGCUUUCGAAGAGUUUUUGCGAGAAACUGGACAAUAACCUUAAGAUGAGGGGGUUUAAAAAAUGUAGAUCAUGAUGUAUAUUUAUGUUAGUUUUUUUUUCUUCUUAGGGUAACAUUUUGUUAUGAAGUUAACCAUAAGAUGUAUUAAUACAGGUGAAUUUAUUAAUCAUUGAUAACAUUUUGAUAGUUUGUGUUUUCUGUUUUUUUUUUAGACAUAGGAUAACACUUAGUAUGGUAUUUGGUAAUUUCUAACGUAUAAAAUUAAUAUAAUCGUAAGUAAUUCUGUUCAAUCUUAUUUGGAUGCGCCAGAAACCUUGUACCCAAUAAAUUGUAAAGAUUGACAAGUACACAGUUUUUUUAUAUCCAUUAAGCAAAGAAAGGAACAAACAGCUGGUAAUGUACUCCUCCUCUUAAAUGUCAUAGUUAUAUGUAUACAUUUAUUUUCCAUGACUAAUAAUACACAAUAGUGUAUUUUACUGUAUAUGAGAAAUUAAGAUUAUUUUUGUAAGGGUGUGCUCCUUAAGUAGUCUUUAUUUUCUGAACAUGCAUUGGUUUUAAAUUCAAUAGAAACUGAAAGUGUUAGCUGUAAGAUUUUUAAACAGAAAUGAAAUACAUUCCUAUAGUAAGUUAAAAACUUUGGGUUUAUAAGCAGUAGCAUACUUACAAUAAAAUUUAAUGUUUCCAAUCAGUAAAUUGUGGCAAAUUCUUUUAAAGAAGGGGGUAGGUGAUAA
Limulus polyphemus (Atlantic horseshoe crab) is the source of this 1059-nucleotide long non-coding RNA. RefSeq lists it as uncharacterized. NCBI's taxonomy places the organism in Eukaryota, Metazoa, Arthropoda, Merostomata, Xiphosura, Limulidae. The record is from RefSeq and is a predicted model, not a curated record. The transcript is spliced from 3 exons.